This is a non-coding RNA of Arachis ipaensis, 410 nucleotides long. The record is from RefSeq and is a predicted model, not a curated record. NCBI's taxonomy places the organism in Eukaryota, Viridiplantae, Streptophyta, Magnoliopsida, Fabales, Fabaceae.
GCUGAAAUUUAUUUAUAAACAAAAAAUUUACCAUCACAUGGAUGUAGUCUGAUUGAGUUAUUGUGCAUUUGAUCCUUUUUUGAAAUAAAUAAAUAAAUUGAAAAAUCCUAAACUUGCGAUAUUUUAUUAACUUGAUAUAGGGAUAUGCAGGUAUCACUUUGAAGUGUGUUGGAGCAUCCAUGGGUGAGAAGCAACCGUUGACAAAGAAGCUGCCAACAACAACUACGGUUGGUAAGCUGAAAUUUAUGUGAGGGCUUUUUUAAGCUGAAGUAAUUGGAGCUAUAGUUAUUUCUUCAAGAAGAGGUUUGUUUUCAUUGAAAAAAAAAGAAAUAGCACGUGUGUUCAAAUCACGAUUGCCUGAUUCAGUUACUGGCGACUUAAUCUUGAAAAAUCAUUUCAUUUUCCCUUGA